GAAAUGCGAUAAGUAAUGUGAAUUGCAGAAUUCCGUGAAUCAUCGAAUCUUUGAACGCACAUUGCGCCCUCUGGCAUUCCGGGGGGCAUGCCUGUCCGAGCGUCAUUACGCACCCUCAAGCCCGGCUUGUGUGAUGGGCCCCGCCGUCUCGUUCGCGAGACGGGCCCGAAAGGCAGCGGCGGCGUCGACCACGAGCGCAGCAGAAACGCGAACUCGUGAGCCCGUCCGGGCGGCUCCCAGAAGCUACACCCACCCAGUUUGACCUCGGAUCAGGUAGGGAUACCCGCUGAACUUAAGC
This 298-nucleotide unclassified non-coding RNA is filed under the name plant metagenome. RNAcentral describes it as "partial contains 5.8S ribosomal RNA, internal transcribed spacer 2, and large subunit ribosomal RNA". The stretch from base 1 to 105 matches the Rfam family "5.8S ribosomal RNA", at positions 50 to 154 of the family's 154-position model. The record is from RNAcentral.